Molecule: long non-coding RNA, 1129 nt
Organism: Cyprinus carpio (common carp)
Lineage: Eukaryota; Metazoa; Chordata; Actinopteri; Cypriniformes; Cyprinidae
Source: Ensembl
UGAGGGGAAAACAGCCUGAAGCGCCGGCUUUAGUAUCUCGCUCUUUCUUCCUUUAUGAGGUCUGUCUGAGAGUGUCUUGUUCGGCUGGUGUCUGGCACUGACUGUGAGGAUGAGGAUGAUGAUGAUGAAGGUGAGAGGUUGGCGCACGCUUCGGCGGCGCGGAUUGGCUAUAGACGGUGUAGCGGGUACCGAGCCGUGAAAUACAGCAUCACAAGCGAGAGUGCAAGUGAGACUUCGUUACCUCGGGCGGUAAAGGGCCUACAAAAGAUGUUUACUUAUUCAAGUCAUUAGCUUUGACCAAAGAAAAUACAGUUCAACUUGACUCGAGAACAAUUUUUUCUGUUGACUUUUAUUUGACUUAAUAUACUAACUUAUUUAUCCAGACGUUUCGUUACUUUUGCGCCUGAACAACAUGCCCAAUUCGCGAACGAAUGUUUUGAAUGAAUCAUUUGAGUCGAUUCUUUUCUAUUUACCUGUGACACGGGUCUGCAAAGCGGUCUGAACAAUUAGUUUUGUGAAUCGUGAAUCUGAAUCAAAUCACAAGAGAAGCACUCCGGAACACGUAAUGGGAUGAAGAGACUGCUCAUACGUUUCGACAAGCUCGCAGCUCGGACCGGGUCAACGGCACGUCCUGUUAAAGCACUCAGUGUACCCUGUUCUCCAUCCAGCUGUGCUGUAAUGCACUUCUGAGCUGGUGGGAUCGGACCGAAGCUCUGCUCAAUAGCAGCAGGAUUUGGGGGAUUGUACAAGGAUCUCGGCAAGGAGUGAAAUCCGUGGUUCUUUGAGACAGCUCAGAGGAAUGGAUCCAGGCAAAGGCAAAUCGGACAUCAGAGUGUGUCUUCAACAUAUUCACCUCCUAACCGGCACGUACAGAAUGGAUGCUUCACAAGGACAACCGGAUUAGAAGGGAUGGGAGGAAGCUGUUGCAUUUGAUGUGCAGUAAAUCUCACAUCUCCCAAAUUGUGAUAUUUCAAGCAAGGCCUCGGUUUGAAGACGAGAGGAAGGAUAAACAAAAGCAUUAAAUGUCUGCUUGCUGAGAACCUCAUCAAGGCUUCCUAUUCCAUUUGUCACAUCUGCUUUGUUUUCUGAAGGGGAGUCUAAAUAAAUCUUUCUCAGACUUUUCUGUCCA